This 497-nucleotide ribosomal RNA is filed under the name uncultured bacterium. Its description in RNAcentral is "partial 16S ribosomal RNA". It matches the Rfam family "Bacterial small subunit ribosomal RNA", at positions 28 to 507 of the family's 1533-position model. The record is from RNAcentral.
GAUGAACGCUGGCGGCGUGCCUAAUACAUGCAAGUCGAGCGAACAGAUAAGGAGCUUGCUCCUUUGACGUUAGCGGCGGACGGGUGAGUAACACGUGGGUAACCUACCUAUAAGACUGGGAUAACUUCGGGAAACCGGAGCUAAUACCGGAUAAUAUUUCGAACCGCAUGGUUCGAUAGUGAAAGAUGGUUUUGCUAUCACUUAUAGAUGGACCCGCGCCGUAUUAGCUAGUUGGUAAGGUAACGGCUUACCAAGGCUACGAUACGUAGCCGACCUGAGAGGGUGAUCGGCCACACUGGAACUGAGACACGGUCCAGACUCCUACGGGAGGCAGCAGUAGGGAAUCUUCCGCAAUGGGCGAAAGCCUGACGGAGCAACGCCGCGUGAGUGAUGAAGGUCUUCGGAUCGUAAAACUCUGUUAUUAGGGAAGAACAUACGUGUAAGUAACUGUGCACGUCUUGACGGUACCUAAUCAGAAAGCCACGGCUAACUACGUG